GUAGUCGGAUUUGCAUCAAUCCACAUGUGUUGGUGUGGAUUGGAGUGGAACUUGAACUAAAUUUCAUCCCAAUCCACUCCAACACAUGUAGAUUAGGAUGAAUCCGACA
Sorghum bicolor (sorghum) is the source of this 109-nucleotide microRNA precursor. It matches the Rfam family "MIR5565 microRNA precursor family". Lineage: Eukaryota; Viridiplantae; Streptophyta; Magnoliopsida; Poales; Poaceae. The record is from Rfam.